RNAcentral lists this long non-coding RNA (1610 nucleotides) under Mus musculus (house mouse). RNAcentral's name for it is "Pvt1 oncogene". The stretch from base 12 to 168 matches the Rfam family "Pvt1 oncogene conserved region 1". Lineage: Eukaryota; Metazoa; Chordata; Mammalia; Rodentia; Muridae. The record is from RNAcentral.
GCGUGUGGCCGCCGAGCACAUGGACCCACUGGUCAAGCGGGCUCGGCAAGGCCAGGAUGAAGAGAAGCUACGAACUUAGCAUUCCCAGAGCCCCCCGAGUGGAUAUCCGCGUGGAAAGGAUGUUGGCAGCCCCGGUGACCUCGGAGUCACGGCUGGAUCCACCCUCUUGUCUGAUUUUCUUAACUCUACUACGGUAAGAAGAUGCCCUCCAUCAGCAGGCCGUGUCUGCUGGGACCUCUCUGGAGACUUCCUGAACCCUGUGGAUUUACAGUAAGAUGCAGUUUCCUGGGGAGUAAUUCUGGUGGAUACAAAUUCCGGAGUAUUACACCUGGCUUGCCUGGAGAUGUUACAAGUAGCUGGAUGGAUUCUUCAGCCUGGAUGCCCACUGAAAACAAGGACCGAAACUAAGAGGAUUGUAUCUCUACCCUUGACUCAAUGAGAAUGUUUGUUGUCAUCUCUCGGGCUACCUGGAGCUCCCUCUAAAAUAGAGCCGAGUUCUGUCACCACAGACAUUGGCAGUGGCACUUGCAUGCCCCUGGCAAGCAGUCUAUCCUGAGGUGGAGGAAGUUGCCCUUGAGUUCUGGCUGGUAACCAGCACAGUAUACCCUUUAAGCGUUCCAGAAGGAUUUUGAGAUCCUUUCCUAAAUCAAAGGUGGAAUAUUUGGGGAUUUGGAAAAUUGAGGCUUCAGAGAAAUCAGGAGCGGUGAAUGAUCGAAAUGGACCUUUGAGAUUACAGUGUGGAGCUGACAUUGCCAGUUAAGCCUGGGCAGAUCUGACUUAAUUGAUUUAGUUGUUGGAGCAGAGACAACCCAGAGGCUUGGAUCAGCCUCCCCAUCUGACAGUGUGCUGAUGUGAAGCGUUGACUUAAGAGAUGCCAAGUAACUCAGCAGAUGUCACACAGACGAUAAAUAGCAAAGAUGGAAGUCUUCAUGCCGGAGGCAAUCCUAUAAGACAGCUGAGUUCUGCAGAGCUGGAGACAGACUUGCUCAGGUGAUAGAUCCAGCCAUGAUACUGACCCUAAGAGAAUGAGACGCUCUGCAGAAGACAGAAGAUUCCUGAAACUGGGAAAGGUGCCUAGAAAUCCUGAUAAGAGUGAAGAAGGAGCUGGCAGAGCAGCCUUCCUCCGCACUAUGAAAGACAUCCAACAGAGAGCAAGUUCCCACCUCACUUCCAGCUUGACUCCUUUUUAUCUCCUAACUGUGGUCUGUGAUGUCUUCAGCAAUGGUAUUAACUAGUUCUGGGUACCUGGAGGCACAGCAGCCAUGUUGAACCUAUGAGGUGAUGAAAAACCAUGCAACUAGAAACCAGAAUGGAAGAAAAGAAGAAGCUGGAUCCUUGACUGAAUUGUCGAUGGGGGAUAGUCCAUCAUCCCAGGGCUAAGACCACCUCCAGAUUUCUUGUUUGGUGAAACAAGUCCUGAUUGUUUACAUUCCCUCGUGUUGAGCUGUCUCUUGCUUGUAGCUGAAAGCAUUUCUAAUAGAUAUUCAGAUUAUCAGCCUUAGCUCCAAGCUAGAAUACUCUAUGGGACCUUAGCUUCUCCAUGAAUUCCUUUGCUCAUCUGUGUAAUGCUCAAUAAAUGUAAAUUGAACCCUGAAUGAGGGACAAUGACA